Brachypodium distachyon (stiff brome) is the source of this 136-nucleotide non-coding RNA. The record is from Rfam. NCBI's taxonomy places the organism in Eukaryota, Viridiplantae, Streptophyta, Magnoliopsida, Poales, Poaceae.
UGCAUACUUCCUUUGUCCAACAAAGGAUGUCUUAACUUUGACUAAAUUUGAAUGCAUCUAUACACUAAGUUAUGUCUAGAUACAUCCAAAUUUUGACAAAUUUUAGACAUCUUUUGUUGGACGGAGAAAGUACAUG